This 959-nucleotide long non-coding RNA is filed under the name Pan paniscus (pygmy chimpanzee). RNAcentral describes it as "lncRNA (ENSPPAG00000045050.1)". Lineage: Eukaryota; Metazoa; Chordata; Mammalia; Primates; Hominidae. The record is from RNAcentral.
UGAAAAUCAAGAGUAAAACAAUCAAAAGGAAUAGGCCCACAGAGGAUCCAGAUAUAGAAGUUUGUUAACAAAACUUUUAAAUAGCUUGAUGUAUAUGUUUAAGGACAUGGAGAAAAAAGCCAAAAACAGAGAGGAUGAGUAGAGUUCCCAAUUUAUAAAGCACACGAGUAAUUCUAGAACUAAAUAAUACAGUAUCGGUAACAGAAAUUUGUACAUAAGAGUAAGCAGAAUUAGUGAGCUAGCAGAAAAGUCAACUGAAUGUCUCUGUGCUUAAGCACAGAGAGCAAACAGUAAGUAAUACAGAAAGGAACACUAAGAAAUAUGAGGGUCACUCAAUAGAUCUAACAUAAAAUGGAAUUCCAGAAGGAAAUAAUAGUGAAUGAAGCAGAAGCAAUAUUUAAAGAGAUAAUUCCUGAAUGUUUUCCAUAACUGAUGAAUGAUAUUAAUUUACAGGUUUAUGGAAGCUCUGUGAAGUCAAGAAGUGUAAAUAUGAUAUCACCAUAUUUUAUUAGAAGUAAAUAUUGAGUACAACUGCAAAUAACCACAGACAAAAAUAUAAUGCACAUUAUCACCAUCCUGGCUAACACGGUGAAACCCUGUCUCUACUAAAAAUACAAAAAAAUUAGCCAGGUGUGGUGGUGGGCAUAGUCCCAGCUACUCAGGAGGCUGAGGCAGGAGAAUGGCGUGAACCCAGGAGGCAAAGCUUGCAGUGAGCCGAGAUGGUGCCACUGCACUCCAGCCUGGGCCACAGGGAGAGACUCUGUCUACAAAAAAAAAAAAUGCACAUUAUCUUCAAAGGAACAAUAGUUUUGAUACCUGAAUUCUCAACAGAAACAAUGGAAGCCAGAAGACAGCAGAAGAAUAUCUUCAAAGUACUAAGAAGAACUCUUUUGCCUCCAGAAAAGAGAAUGGAUUUUGGAGUUAGAGUUGGCUACAGACGAUACAGGAAGAAAAAUUAA